Monodelphis domestica (gray short-tailed opossum) is the source of this 417-nucleotide long non-coding RNA. RefSeq lists it as uncharacterized. The record is from RefSeq and is a predicted model, not a curated record. Lineage: Eukaryota; Metazoa; Chordata; Mammalia; Didelphimorphia; Didelphidae.
AUGAGGAGCAUUCACACAACCUCAUAAAGCUGACCUUAGAGUUCUGUUCAUCCAAACCCCUGAUUUCCUACCCAAACUGGGGAAGGCCUCAAAGGGAAGUGAAUGAUGAGCACAACUUCCCCAGGUUAAGAAGCCACUCCAAGGCAGACUGGGUUGAGGAGACUGGUCUAAUGCUUUGGAACAUAUCGCAGUGUGUUGUGCUGCCACUUCCCAGGGAGCAACAGUGCACUGAAAAUGGGAAAAACAAUGAUCCCCGUGUGUGGGGAAAAAAGAACUCUGGAAAUCACCUCCAAACCUUGGGGUCUCCAAAGCUCCUGCUAUUUGGAAAGUAAUUCAUUCCCUCUUCCUUUGCCAGAACACCAUUAAAUAGCUGCCUGGGCAGAGGGAUGGAGCCCUCCCUGAGCUGCCUGAGUACCU